This is a long non-coding RNA of Oxyura jamaicensis (ruddy duck), 3603 nucleotides long. RefSeq lists it as uncharacterized. The transcript has 2 exons. NCBI's taxonomy places the organism in Eukaryota, Metazoa, Chordata, Aves, Anseriformes, Anatidae. The record is from RefSeq and is a predicted model, not a curated record.
CAGGUACCCAGAAGACCUGGAUCCCUGCCCUGAAGAGGCGGAUGGCAGCAGAAACCGGCUGGAUUUUUGUUGGACAUGGCUCCGGAGCAGAUCCCUGCCUGCGCAGAGCCCGGCUGGCGUUGGAGCUCAUGGGGUUGCUGCAUGAGACCACACAGCGCAGGCUGAGCAAGUGGAUAAGGUGUGGAUGGAUAUAAAUGGGUCAGGGGGCCCAGGAGAGACAGAAAUGAGCAGAAAUCCCCCACUUCAGAGGCUGCUUCUGCAGGAGAGUCGGUGCCCGGUGGAAAGGUCUGAGCUUCGCAGUGCCUUUUUUGGUACAAUGCUGCCAACGCCCGUGUUCUGCUGCAGUGACCCAAUCGUUAUAUAAACAAGGGUUUAAUUUUGGAACUUUAAUAUUUAAGAGGCUUAAGUUUCUUUUGCUCAGACUUAUUUUCAUACACUGCCCAUCUGACAAAACACUUCUUACCUACAUUAUCAGUUGCUAACAAAGUGUCCUGCAGCUGUGUUCACGGUCCUUUUGAGCAAUAAUUUUACUCGAGAUAAUUCCUUGCCUUAGUAUCACUGUCAGACUGGAGCAGGGCUUAGAGGACUGCAUGGCCCUGGCUAGCCCUUCUGAGUUUUCAGACUACCUCCUUUGAAAAACAAAAGGCAAGUAACACAGAAGGGUGUGCUGAUGCUAAGAGCAGCAAAAGCUGACACGGAUGGUUGCCUAUAAAAAUAUUACCCUUACAAACCAGCGCCCUUUGGAAUAUAACCAUGGGACCUCUACUAGAAACAACUUGUAUAACUCAUAUGCACCAUCUCCUGCAAGGACAGAGACUGGAGCACCGUUGAUCCCCUCCUGCUGUCUUCUGCAGAUAGGUAGUUUGCUUUUUUCUGCGGUCAGUAAACAUUCAGUUUAGGGAUGGUAACACAAAUGUCUCCCUGGUGGGACAGAAGCUCAGCUUAUCACGUGCUGUCAGAGACGAAGAUGUAGUUUCUCAUCUGCUGUCCUGCUGCAGGUGUUCUACCAGCUCUCCAGCCUUGACUGUUCUGUUCUAAAGCCUGCAAAGAAACUAGAGGAACAGGAAACAAUUUAAAAGUGCUUUGAAGGAAGGAGUUACCGUGGAAAUGGAAGCCAGGUCACCACUUGCACUGUCACACCCCUCUGUCCUGCACCUGGCCCUGGUCUGACUCAUUCCUCAACUGGGGGAUGAUGCAUCGAGCCUCUCUGCCUCGGAUCUGCAUGUGAAAUGGGAGCGUUUCCUCCGGGGGAGACCGGAGGCCGAUGAACCACGAGUUUCAUUCCGGCUUUUCAAAAUGGAGGAAAAAAAUGAUGAUGCACACAGGGUCAGGCAGAGGUCUUUGCUUUCUGUAGAAGCCCCAGAAAGUGCCUUAAUGUACAAGCCGAGGGCUCUGAAAAUCAGGUCUGCAGCACCUAGGCUUGUCUGGUUCAUGCAGACUAGAUUAAAGGUCGGCAGCUAGGGAGGAGGUUCCCUUUCAUGGGGCAGGCAGGGAUUUCUUCCCUUUCUUGACUUGUCUAGAGGGUAUAAAGCAGCGUGAAGUCCAUGAAAGGCUUUGAGAUGCUCCUCAGAAAGAAGCUAUAGAACUGUACUGCUGCUAAAACGCGUCUGAAAAGGAGAAAAAACAGAGCAAUAGGACUGCACUUGCUCUGCUAUUACUUAUCAGAAACCCUGGGACACUUCGGCAAGGCCAAAUGUAGCCGACAGCAUGUGCCUGUCUCUGCACACGUGUGUCCCCACACGUACAUGUCCAACAUGCAGCAAAUGCUCGAGACAAGCGUUUUUAUCUUUUUGCAUGCAUGCACAUUACUAGUUGAGCACUGCCUAUCACGUGCUCCUGAACUGCUCUCUUUUUCUCCUUCCUUCUGCAUGCUGCCUGCCCCAGCAUGCCGGUAGGUUUGGAAAGAAGAGCAUAUGCUGUCACGGCUGUACCCCUCGUGAAAGGUGCAUCCGCAGCUCAGCAGCGAGGGCUGACACCUUCUGGCUGCUCAGAGGGAAGGGGAGCGUGAGCUGCAGGUAGCCUGCAGGAGGGGCAUCAUCAUCAUCUUAAUCAUGCUGAAAGGAAAUCUGUUUUUAAUCAAACUAUAAAUAAUGAAUGAGCCAUUGGUCUUCAACUGCUGCACGAUAUUUCUGGAAAGAUUACUCUGCUCUGGAGGGCGGAGGGGAAGGUGCUCAGACCCAGUUCAUCAGAGGCACUCAGUGGCUCUCCAGGCCUUGCACCUCCAGGGCAGCUUGCGUUUUCAGCAGCACAAACAUAACUGACAUUUCCAGCAACUUCCUUGAAAACUUUAUUAAAGAUUCCUGAUUACUGUUAAGGCACGUGCUUAAUACUGAGAAGAAAAAAAAAAUACAAAGCAACCCUCACUUCAAGUCCGCUUCCAGAGGAUGCUGCUGGGGUACUUUAUCUGUGCCACAACUAACCUCCAGCCAGCAGUAACUCUCCAUCCAGCCUUUCAGUAGUAAAUCUUUAUGCUGACAAUAUAGGAUGCCUCAUAAAUAACUGUGCCAGCAAGAAGAACACUGGGGAGGGAACCUGCUUUCCACUUAUCUUUCACCCUGCUGCCCUAGUUAAUGGAUUUAGAAACUCCAGUAAAUACCCAGACAGCAAUCUAGUGCAGUUCUCCCCCCGCCCCUUCUUGGAAGGACGUGCUCUGUUCCCUGAGCUUUCCUCUGCUGCCCGUGGGUGUGCAUUAGAUGUAGGCACUGAAGCAGAUUCUUGGAUCCGGUUACAAAACUGAUGCAAGGAGUUGCCAAGAACCCAGGGCAUCGAUAAGUAAAACUCCCAACUCUGCUUCUGCCCAGCUUCAUCCGGUUUCGCAUCAGCUUCUGCAUCGGCACAGGUUACACACGGUGCCCAGGGUCUGAGAGUUCCCGAAUUACACGUGUGUAGUUGUUCACAGGCCUGAAGACACGCCAUAUGCUCCCACACACUUGCUGCAGGUUAGCCACCACGGCUGCGCUGUGCUACGGUGCUGCUCACACCUAUUCCCUUCCCAAUAACCGUCAGCCACUCAUUUUCACACUCUCCUACCUCCCUGGCAACUUUUGUUGAACCAUUUGCAGUUAUAUUUGCAACUGCUCCCUUUUUAGGCUUCGUUCUGGCCCACAGCUCAAAGUUGUUUCCACAUAAUUUAUUUUCAUUAAAACUUAUUUUGUGCUCACAGGAUUUAGAACUUCUCACAAAAAUCUGCAUCUCCGUGCUAAUUAAAAGCAUGCUAUUAAAAGCCACGGGAUAAAGCUGACAAAGUGCCACCAUGACAAUCAACUUCCUUUCCCUGUCACAAAAGCACCCACCUUCUGUUUGUCUACCUGUCCUCUGAUGGCACGGAGGUUAUAGCCUGGGCGUAACUUCAGGAGCACAAAAAAUUGCUCCUGUACGACAAAAACUUUUUAUUCCUCCUCCCAAACCAGUAGCAUCCUCUGCAUUACAGUCAGACUUCUUUUGCCACUAGCUGCUAAGAGCUUCGCUUUACCUGGCUAGCGAAGGAAAUCGCAGUCACUGCCGCAGCAGUAGGCUCCUUCAUCACACAUCUCAUUGCUCCUACAUCAGCCUCAACUAUUCACGAGAUGCCAAAAAAUGUGUCAAUAAAAUAACUAUCCUGAA